CAACAAAUAUUUUAAUAAAAAUAUUAAUUUUGGGUAUUAAAGACGUGGAGAUUUUCUACUUUGUUGA
This 67-nucleotide transfer RNA is filed under the name Exitianus sp. EMHAU-2015-Zz05232005. RNAcentral's name for it is "tRNA-Pro". Lineage: Eukaryota; Metazoa; Arthropoda; Insecta; Hemiptera; Cicadellidae. The record is from RNAcentral.